This is a long non-coding RNA of Mesocricetus auratus (golden hamster), 304 nucleotides long. RefSeq lists it as uncharacterized. NCBI's taxonomy places the organism in Eukaryota, Metazoa, Chordata, Mammalia, Rodentia, Cricetidae. The transcript has 3 exons. The record is from RefSeq and is a predicted model, not a curated record.
GAGGACAUUGGGGCACAGAAAAUCUAUCUGCAUGUCUCAGUUAAGCUCUACGGUGCAAGUAGUUCUACCAGAACUGCCCAAGCAUGGUCGGGUAAGAAGACAGAAUUCUUGGAAACAUUGUGAUAUCUUCCUGACAGCAAGGUAGAGAGAAUGCGGGAGAAGGACAAGGCCUUCAGAGCCAUGCUCACCACACCAGAGGUGGCCAGAAUUCCAUCAGGAACACUGAAAAUAUAUUACUCUGAGGAUAGACUAAUCAAGGAAAUCCAUGUGGAAAACUCUUACCAGAGCAGAAGCUCUGUUGAAA